UGCGUAGGCGGUCGGCAAAGUCUGAUGUGAAAUCUCCGGGCUCAACCCGGAAACUGCAUCGGAUACUGGUCGGCUAGAGGAUUGAAGGGGGGGCUGGAAUUCUCGGUGUAGCAGUGAAAUGCGUAGAUAUCGAGAGGAACACCAGUGGCGAAGGCCAGUCCCUGGACAACUCCUGACGCUGAGGCACGAAAGCUAGGGGAGCAAACA
This 207-nucleotide ribosomal RNA is filed under the name uncultured bacterium. Its description in RNAcentral is "partial 16S ribosomal RNA". It matches the Rfam family "Bacterial small subunit ribosomal RNA", at positions 568 to 774 of the family's 1533-position model. The record is from RNAcentral.